AUGUGUGUAUCCUAGAACCAAGGAGGAAUGGGCUUUCGGGAUAUCCAUUGUUUCAAUUUGGCUAUGUUUGCUCAGGCUUGGCGUCUUAUCAAGAAUCCGGAUUUUCUAUGUGCUACCAUUUUGAGAGUCAAAUACUAUCCCCACGGUGACUUGUUGAACACUGACCUAAAGAAGGGUUCUUCCUUUACCUGGCAAAGUAUUAUGGCAGGUGUGAGAUCCCUGAAGCACGGUCAUAUUUGGCGAGUGGGAAAUGGGUAGAAUAUUGACAUUUGAGAGGACGCAUGGAUUCCAAAUUGUGCAAACCGUAAAAUUGUGACCCCUAAGGGAGGCGAGUUACUACAGAAGGUAGCAGUUUUGAUUGAUCCAAUCCUAAAUAGUUGGGAUGAAGAUCUUCUCAGACAGACCCUAUGGCCUAUUGAUGUUCAAUGGGUGCUUGCAAUCACCAUAUCGCAACAUGAUAUGCCAGAUUUUGUAGCUUGGAAUUUCACAAAAAAUGGGAUUUUUUUGGUUAGGUCUACUUAUUUUGUGGAAUGGGACCACCAACAUGGUAACAAGUUACGACAUACCAACAGGAUGGGACGUACGAUGGUCAAUCCUAUUUGGGGGAGGCUUUGGAAGCUUUCUUGUCCAACAAAGGUUGAAAUAUUUAUUUGGCGUACACUUCAUGGCACUCUUUUGUGUCAUGUUAACCUAGCUAAUAGACAUGUGAAAGUCUUGCCUGAGUGUCCUACUUGGCCAUCUAGGCCAGAAGGCACAAAGCAUCUGUUGUUUCUAUGUGACAAAGCAAAAGAAGUCCGGAGAAGACUAGGGAUGGAUGAUAUUAUCGACAGAGCUUGUAAAAUAGACUAUGCGAGUGAGGCAGUCUUGGAAUAUUUACUUUCAUUACCAGAUUAG
This 894-nucleotide ribosomal RNA is filed under the name Triticum aestivum (bread wheat). RNAcentral describes it as "partial small subunit ribosomal RNA". Lineage: Eukaryota; Viridiplantae; Streptophyta; Magnoliopsida; Poales; Poaceae. The record is from RNAcentral.